This 650-nucleotide long non-coding RNA is filed under the name Salmo salar (Atlantic salmon). Its description in RNAcentral is "lncRNA (ENSSSAG00000095181.1)". The record is from RNAcentral. Lineage: Eukaryota; Metazoa; Chordata; Actinopteri; Salmoniformes; Salmonidae.
GGGAGAAAUUAGAAAUGUAGUUUUUGUUUUGAAUCCCUUGAAAAACUACAGUGACAUAGGAUUUACAUUGCACCUCCUAACUCUUCCAUUGGCUGUCAACAAUCUUUAGGGACUGGUUUCAACCGUCAUCUGUUACCGGGCAGAAAAUUAUGGCUCAGUCAAUCACUGGCCAGUCUGAGGAGAGGUGUCUUAUGACUCGCAUGCACGUGACUUUGUUGUUUUUUUAUUUUUCUUCUGGGAUGAAUACCUAUUGCCCGGUUGUAAAAGUAUCGCAAUUUUACGUAAAAAAAUACCCUAAAGGAUUGAUUGUAAACAUCGUUUGAUGUGUUUCUACAAACGGAAAUGGAACUUUGAACAUUUCGAAUAUGGAUUUGCGUCCACACCACAUGGCAUUGUAAAGUGUUCUGGAUGGGUCAACAAAACGGACGUAUUUGGACAUAAAUGAUGGACUUUGCAGAACAAAUGAACAUUUCUUGUGGAAGUGGGUGCCCAUCCGAGUGCAUUCCGCCAAAGACCAGCAAAGCAUGGAUUCUACACUGAGAGUACAGCAUGGAUUCCACUCAGAGUACAGCAUGGAAUCCACUCUGAGAGAACAGCAUGGAUUCUACACUGAGAGUACAGCAUGGAUUCUACACUGAGAGUACAGCAUG